RNAcentral lists this long non-coding RNA (1648 nucleotides) under Oncorhynchus mykiss (rainbow trout). RNAcentral describes it as "lncRNA (ENSOMYG00000052935.1)". The record is from RNAcentral. Lineage: Eukaryota; Metazoa; Chordata; Actinopteri; Salmoniformes; Salmonidae.
AUGUGUCUGUUUUCCAGUCCAACAGGAGUGGACCCCUCAGGACAUCCUGUGUCAGUGGGAUCCUGUGUCAGUGGGAUCCUGUGCAUGGACAUCCUGUGUCAGUGGGAUCCUGUGUCAGUGGGAUCCUGUGCAUGGACAUCCUGUGCAUGGACAUCCUGUGUCAGUGGGAUCCUGUGCAUGGACAUCCUGUGUCAGUGGGAUCCUGUGCAUGGACAUCCUGUGUCAGUGGGAUCCUGUGCAUGGACAUCCUGUGCAUGGACAUCCUGUGCCAGUGGGAUCCGAGCGCAUAAAGACCCUGUGGAUGGACAGGCCAAAUACAGACAGGGAUGACUUGGGCCUUCAACAAGUAAGACACGGGGUACUGACAGGAUGAGCAAUAUGAGUCUGUCAGAGGUCGUCACGCUGGAAGGUGACGGAGGCUUUGGUGGUCCACACAACGAAGAAACAGGUGUCCCUUCCAGUGAUGUGGGACUGACCUUGGACCUGGUACCAGUAAGGAUGGUCUUUACGGAGGCGGUAAGACCCUCGCUCCUUGAUAUAGAAAUCCUUCGACUUCACUGCCUCUUCAACGGUCUGUUGCACCAUUGUCCUCCACCAGACCAUCCGGUGAGGCACCCAGGAUCCCAGACUCAAAGCCCUGACUCCUGCAUGCCCCAGGUGCCCUUGUUUUUUAACAAUGCCCGGUACAGACAGGGAUGACUGGGAGGGUAGGGGAUUUUCUGACUCAGGUUCAAGGAGACGGGGUGGCAGGUAGCCUAGUAGUUAGAGCGUUGGACUAGUAACCGAAAGGUUACAAGAUCGAAUCCCUGAGCUGACAAGGUAAAAUCUGUCCUUCUGCCCCUGAACUUGGUAGUUAACCCACUGUUCCUAAGCUGUCCUUGAAAAUAAUAAUUUGUUCUUAACUGACUUGCCUAGUUAAAUAAAGGUAAAAUUAAAAAAAGACAUGCCAAUCCACUGAACCUUCCCCAGAGACGGUUCCUUACCCUCUGAGAUCCUCCUCUGUGGGAUCUCAGGACAGAGGGUUGUAGUCUUCGCCGGGUACAGGUCCUCCACUGACUGCACCUGGUUGGGCACGGCUGGCUUCCUCCACAUUCCACAUCCAUAUGUUGGAUAUUAUGAACCACCAAAAUAGGCUACAUGGCACCGCUAAUGGAGGCAUUCACAUGUGGUAGAGAGAAUCCCCUGCCAACAGGAAGGAGGAUGACGGCCUACCCCAGUCAAACCCUAACCCGGACGACGCUGGGCCAAUUGUGAGCUGCCCUAUGGGACUCCCAAUCACGGCCGGUUAGGAUACAUCCUGGAAUCAAACCAGGGUCUGUAGUGACGCCUCUGAGAUUCAGUGCCUUAGACCACUGCGCCACUCGGGAACCCAGCUGUAGAAUUUUUAAGCACAUUUUCACAUCAGGACAAGUGCAACUUUUCCAUAACUUGUAAUUUUAUCAAUUAAAAGUGUAUCACUUAAUCCUAUAAAUUCACUGUAUGAAUUAAUGUACCACUCUGAAUAAAUAAACACUAUGCUUUUGAAGAUUUGUCUCUGCUCAUGAAACUACAAUACAGACUGGAUGUCUAAACAAAGGCAAUUCUGAAUGUCAAUAUACUUUUAGAUUCAUUCUCAUUAUUGACAACAAUCUAGAACUGAGUUAUCAGU